Molecule: ribosomal RNA, 466 nt
Filed under: uncultured bacterium
Lineage: Bacteria
Description: partial 16S ribosomal RNA
Rfam family: Bacterial small subunit ribosomal RNA
Source: RNAcentral
CUACGGGGCGCACCAGUGAGGAAUUUUGCGCAAUGGGGGGAACCCUGACGCAGCAACGCCGCGUGAGUGAUGAAGGCUUUCGGGUCGUAAAGCUCUGUCAAGUGGGAAGAACCUAUGCAGUGUUAAUAUCACUGUAUACUGACGGUACCACUGAAGGAAGCACCGGCUAACUCCGUGCCAGCAGCCGCGGUAAUGACGGGGGGUGCAAGCGUUAUUCGGAAUCAUUGGGCGUAAAGGGCACGUAGGCGGCUUGGUAAGUCAGAUGUGAAAGCCCGGGGCUUAACCCCGGAAGUGCAUUUGAUACUGUCAGGCUUGAGUAUGGGAGAGGGAAGUGGAAUUCCUGGUGUAGAGGUGAAAUUCGUAGAUAUCAGGAGGAACACCGGUGGCGAAGGCGACUUCCUGGACCAAUACUGACGCUGAGGUGCGAAGGCGUGGGUAGCAAACAGGAUUAGAUACCCGAGUAGUC